AUUUCCUGUAGGUUUGGAGAGUUGAGUGGAAUAUAACUGGCACAAUUCUGGCUUCCUCUGGAGAUGAUGGCUGUGUACGUUUAUGGAAAGCUAACUAUCUUAACAACUGGAAGUGUAUAACAGUUUUACGUGGAGAUGGCAUCUCAGGUUCCAUGCCUGGCCCCAGUAUGAGUGGUCCAAUCAUGAAUGGGCAGGAUCCAAAACAAGGUCUUGCUGCAUUCAAGACACAGACUUCAUGGUACACAUCAUAACACAGUACUCUCUGUUUACCAAGGACACCUUUUUAGAUGCUGAUCAGAAUACAUUUUGAUCAACACCAUCAGCAAUUAACAAGAGUAACAAAGAAUUAACUGAGAUAUGAGCUAAUCAGACAUCUUGGUAAACUUCAGUAUUUACAAUUACUAGUUACAAGUGGAAGAAAACACCAGUGAAAGAGCUUUUUUUUUUCUUUCUAAGAAUAAGAGAACAGUUCUAGCUCUAGUUUUAUGAAGGGUAGAUAUCACUGUUACUGUGGAUAGGGCAGUAAGUUUUCCUAACACCUAUUGGCUGGAUACCAAUUAUCCCUUAAUUACAGUUGUCUGCCCUUUAAACAACUGGAACCUGAUAAACUUAUUUCUUCAAGCAGAUGCCUCUCAAUAUGGAUAGAUUUUAGGAAAGAUGAAGGAAAAAUUCCAUAUAGAAGAGAAGGGUGUUGAACUUUGUCCUGUUGAAUGAACCAAAAUUUCCUGGAGGGAGCUUUCCAGGGGGAGGGGUGCAGGGAGGAGACUCGCAGCUUAUUGAUAAACUUUGCAGCUAUAUAUAAUCUGCUGUCGUUUGUUAUGUAUUCUCAGUAGUUACAUUAUGCUAUUCAGUGCCUAGUCAGUAGCCUUCUCUUUGUUGUUUGCUUCAAAAAUUUGCUUUAAUCACCUGUCAAUUACUUGCUUACUAGCAGUGUACCCCCUUCUAAGAAAAAUGCUGGAUCCACUCCUGCGAAUGGGUACAAAAUCGUAUCAUUGCAUAUUCAGUGAAUUAAACUUAAUUCCUACUAUAUGUUUAUGGAAGAGUCAGAUCAACAGAAAAAAUGUUAGUCACAAUCAGGUAUGAUUUCUUUUGGUAUUGUGCUAAUCUACAAGUAUUUGUUCCAUACACAUACUGUUGUUAAUUAAUUCUAUUCUUUAGGAAGCACUUAGUAGGCUUAAAUAUGUAGAAGUAGUUGACUUUGGUUGGUUAAUCACUUCUUCUUGAUAGGUGUAUCUGUACAGUGUGCCUAUUCGCAGUACUGAUUGUGAUUAAUUAUUGCUGAGGUCCUUUUGACCAAUUUAUCAAGGAAAACGGUUUCGUUCAGAAUUGUGAAAGCUGUACAAUAGUGUUUUAAGGAUACCUAGUACCUAACCAUUCUUUGAUUUUCCUUUGAGGAACAUACCUAUCUUGGUAAAUAAAACAUAUUUUUAAACACUUAGUUAGAGUGUUUAUAGGCAGGCAAACUGCCUCAGUCUAUAGAAUUGAUGCAGCUAAAGUGAGUCACACCUCACAUAAAAAAACAUUAUCCCUUUUCAAGUCAUUAGUAACAAACAGAGAAUUUUCACCUCCACAAAAAAAACAAUCAUUUUUUCAGACAAAAGAAAUAAAUUCAAGAAUAAUAUUACCAUAUUCUUGAUGUCUAGAAGACACUGACAUUUGUCCUUGGUGGGUUUACUUGUGAAUUCGUGUUUCUCUUCAAAUUAUUCAAAAGUCACACACACAGCAAAAAACUAAAUGAAUCCAUUCAACUGCUUAGAGCUAAAUUCAAUCCAGACUUAAAAAACAAUGUAAGUCCUAUCUCACAAUCAAAAUUACUGAGGACUUCACAAAAAAAACAAAAAUUUGCAGUCAACUUAUUUUCAUACCAAAAGCAUUUGAUCCACUGAGGCUUGAAUCAAA
This is a long non-coding RNA of Stylophora pistillata, 1899 nucleotides long. NCBI's taxonomy places the organism in Eukaryota, Metazoa, Cnidaria, Anthozoa, Scleractinia, Pocilloporidae. The record is from RefSeq and is a predicted model, not a curated record.